AGGCUCGUGGUGUUAAUGGUUGGCACGUUCGCCUGAUAAGCGAGAGGUUUGUGAGUUCGAAUCUCACCGAGCCUACCA
This 78-nucleotide transfer RNA is filed under the name Caudoviricetes sp. Its description in RNAcentral is "tRNA-Ile". It matches the Rfam family "tRNA". From Rfam's summary of the family: Transfer RNA (tRNA) molecules are approximately 80 nucleotides in length. Their secondary structure includes four short double-helical elements and three loops (D, anti-codon, and T loops). Lineage: Duplodnaviria; Heunggongvirae; Uroviricota; Caudoviricetes. The record is from RNAcentral.